RNAcentral lists this ribosomal RNA (446 nucleotides) under uncultured bacterium. Its description in RNAcentral is "bacterial SSU rRNA". It matches the Rfam family "Bacterial small subunit ribosomal RNA", at positions 330 to 792 of the family's 1533-position model. The record is from RNAcentral.
CCCAGACUCCUACGGGAGGCAGCAGUGGGGAAUAUUGCACAAUGGGGGAAACCCUGAUGCAGCGACGCCGCGUGGGUGAAGGAGCGUUUCGGCGCGUAAAGCCCUCUCGGCAGGGAAGAAGGAGGACGGUACCUGACUAAGAAGCCCCGGCUAACUACGUGCCAGCAGCCGCGGUAAUACGUAGGGGGCAAGCGUUAUCCGGAUUUACUGGGUGUAAAGGGAGCGUAGACGGCGAUGCAAGUCUGAAGUGAAAGCCCGGGGCUCAACCCCGGGACUGCUUUGGAAACUGUAUGGCUGGAGUGCUGGAGAGGCAAGCGGAAUUCCUGGUGUAGCGGUGAAAUGCGUAGAUAUCAGGAGGAACACCGGUGGCGAAGGCGGCCUGCUGGACUGCAACUGACGUUGAGGCCCGAAAGCGUGGGGAGCAAACAGGAUUAGAUACCCCCGUA